This 570-nucleotide ribosomal RNA is filed under the name Lateolabrax latus (blackfin seabass). Its description in RNAcentral is "partial 16S ribosomal RNA". It matches the Rfam family "Bacterial large subunit ribosomal RNA", at positions 1819 to 2597 of the family's 2925-position model. The record is from RNAcentral. Lineage: Eukaryota; Metazoa; Chordata; Actinopteri; Acropomatiformes; Lateolabracidae.
CCUCUUGCAAAACUACGAAUAAGAGGUCCCGCCUGCCCUGUGACUAUAAGUUUAACGGCCGCGGUAUUUUGACCGUGCGAAGGUAGCGCAAUCACUUGUCUUUUAAAUGGAGACCUGUAUGAAUGGCACGACGAGGGCUUGACUGUCUCCUUUUUCAGGUCAAUGAAGUUGAUCUCCCCGUGCAGAAGCGGGGAUACUUACAUAAGACGAGAAGACCCUAUGGAGCUUUAGACACCAGGACAGACCAUGUCAAACAACCCCGGACAACGGGCUAAACCAAAUGCACCCUGCCCUAAUGUCUUUGGUUGGGGCGACCGCGGGGAAAUACGAAACCCCCACGUGGAAUGGGGACACCCCCUCUACAACCAAGAGCUUCCGCUCUAAUUAACAGAAAUUCUGACCAAUAAGAUCCGCGAUGCCGAUCAACGGACCGAGUUACCCUAGGGAUAACAGCGCAAUCCCCUUUUAGAGCCCAUAUCGACAAGGGGGUUUACGACCUCGAUGUUGGAUCAGGACAUCCCAAUGGUGCAGCCGCUAUUAAGGGUUCGUUUGUUCAACGAUUAAAGUCCU